GUGUCCUUUUUAUCAGCUUUUGUCCACUGUUAUCUACAAAACACGAGCGAAAUCGGGCCAAGGUAUUCCCACAUUGUGCUCUCGGGUGUAACAUGCACUGCCAUAUCGUUCGGGAACUUUGCCGCAAUAUUGUUUGACACAUAUAUCAUGGACGGUCUUCCGUAUGUACAG
Molecule: long non-coding RNA, 171 nt
Organism: Dermacentor silvarum
Lineage: Eukaryota; Metazoa; Arthropoda; Arachnida; Ixodida; Ixodidae
Exons: 3
Source: RefSeq, a predicted model, not a curated record